This 253-nucleotide ribosomal RNA is filed under the name uncultured bacterium. Its description in RNAcentral is "partial 16S ribosomal RNA". It matches the Rfam family "Bacterial small subunit ribosomal RNA", at positions 524 to 776 of the family's 1533-position model. The record is from RNAcentral.
UACAGAGGUCCCAAGCGUUGUUCGGAUUUACUGGGCGUAAAGGGUGCGUAGGUGGUCGGGUAAGUCUCAUGUGAAAUCCCGCAGCUUAACUGCGGAACGGCAUGGGAUACUAUUCGGCUCGAGGAUUGGAGGGGGGACUGGAAUUCCCGGUGUAGCAGUGAAAUGCGUAGAUAUCGGGAGGAACACCAGUGGCGAAGGCGAGUCCCUGGACAAUUCCUGACGCUGAGGCACGAAAGCCAGGGGAGCAAACCGG